AUUGAGGUCUAUCUUGGUGGGGCUUUUUCUGUAGCCAUAUGUCAUUGGAAACGCCUCAUAGAGUAACACUGUGGUUUUGCUUUCCUCACAGGACUAUUUGUUAACUCUGUGGGAAGAAACUACCAGACAGUU
This 132-nucleotide small nucleolar RNA is filed under the name Microcebus murinus (gray mouse lemur). The record is from RNAcentral. Lineage: Eukaryota; Metazoa; Chordata; Mammalia; Primates; Cheirogaleidae.